This 266-nucleotide ribosomal RNA is filed under the name uncultured Staphylococcus sp. RNAcentral's name for it is "partial 16S ribosomal RNA". It matches the Rfam family "Bacterial small subunit ribosomal RNA", at positions 96 to 354 of the family's 1533-position model. The record is from RNAcentral. Lineage: Bacteria; Bacillati; Bacillota; Bacilli; Caryophanales; Staphylococcaceae.
CGGCGGACGGGUGAGUAACACGUGGGUAACCUACCUAUAAGACUGGGACAACUUCGGGAAACCGGAGCUAAUACCGGAUAAGAUAUCGAACCGCAUGGUUCGAUAGUGAAAGAUGGUUUUGCUAUCACUUAUAGAUGGACCCGCGCCGUAUUAGCUAGUUGGUGAGGUAACGGCUCACAAAGGCAACGAUACGUAGCCGACCUGAGAGGGUGAUCGGCCACACUGGAACUGAGACACGGUCCAGACUCCUACGGGAGGCAGCAGGC